UACGUAGGGGGCAAGCGUUGUCCGGAAUUAUUGGGCGUAAAGAGCUCGUAGGCGGCUUGUCGCGUCGGCUGUGAAAACCUGGGGCUCAACCCCGGGCCUGCAGCCGAUACGGGCAAGCUAGAAUUCGGUAGGGGAGACCGGAAUUCCUGGUGUAGCGGUGAAAUGCGCAGAUAUCAGGAGGAACACCGGUGGCGAAGGCGGGUCUCUGGGCCGAUAUUGACGCUGAGGAGCGAAAGCGUGGGGAGCGAACAGG
This 253-nucleotide ribosomal RNA is filed under the name uncultured bacterium. RNAcentral describes it as "partial 16S ribosomal RNA". It matches the Rfam family "Bacterial small subunit ribosomal RNA", at positions 524 to 776 of the family's 1533-position model. The record is from RNAcentral.